UACGUAGGUGGCAAGCGUUGUUCGGAAUUAUUGGGCGUAAAGGGCGCGUAGGCGGCUUGUUAAGUCGGUUGUGAAAGCCUGGGGCUCAACCCCGGAAAGUCGACCGAUACUGGCAGGCUAGAGUACGGAAGAGGUAGCUGGAAUUCCCGGUGUAGCGGUGGAAUGCGUAGAUAUCGAGAGGAACACCUGCGGCGAAGGCGGGUUGCUGGGACGACACUGACGCUGAAGCGCGAAAGCCAGGGGAGCGAACGGG
Molecule: ribosomal RNA, 253 nt
Filed under: uncultured bacterium
Lineage: Bacteria
Description: partial 16S ribosomal RNA
Rfam family: Bacterial small subunit ribosomal RNA
Source: RNAcentral